GAUUGGGAUAACCUUCCGAAAGGAGGGCUAAUACCGGAUGUGGUGGUUCGUCGCAUGACGGAUUGACUAAAGGUAGGGACCGCAAGGCCUGCCACUUGGAGAGGAGCCCGCGUCCCAUCAGCUAGUUGGUGAGGUAACGGCCCACCAAGGCUUACGGGUAGCUGGUCUGAGAGGAUGGUCAGCCACACUGGGACUGAGACACUGCCCAGACUCCUACGGGAGGCUGCAGUCGAGGAUCUUUUGCAAUGGGCGAAAGCCUGACAAAGCGACGCUGCGUGGAGGAUGAAGGCCUUCGGGUUGUAAACUCCUGUCAUCUGGGAAAAACAAUUGCCUGGGUAAUACUCAGGCGACCUGAUGGUACCAGAAGAGGAAGCCACGGCUAACUCUGUGCCAGCAGCCGCGGUAAUACAGAGGCGGCAAGCGUUGUUCGGAUUUACUGGGCGUAAAGGGUGCGUAGGUGGUGCGGUGUGUCGGGCGUGAAAUCCCACGGCUCAACUGUGGAGCGCCGUCCGAAACUACCGCGCUAGAGUGCAGAAGAGGAGAGCGGAAUUCUUGGUGUAGCGGUGAAAUGCGUUGAUAUCAAGAAGAACGCCGGCGGCGAAGGCGGCUCUCUGGGAUGCAACUGACACUGAGGCACGAAAGCUGGGGGAGCAAACAGGAUUAGAUACCCUGGUAGUCCCAGCCUUAAACGGUGUGAACUUGGUGUGGGGAGAAUUGACCCUCUCCGUACCGUAGCUAACGCGUUAAGUUCACCGCCUGGGGAGUACGGUCGCAAGAUUAAAACUCAAAGAAAUUGACGGGGCCCGCACAAGCGGAGGAGCAUGUGGCUCAAUUCGAUGCAACGCGAAGAACCUUACCAGGGCUUGACAUGUAGGUGCAUUCCCAGUGAAAGCUGGGGAGCCUUCGAGGGUCCUACACAGGUGCUGCAUGGCUGUCGUCAGUUCGUGCCGUGAGGUGUUGGGUUAAGUCCCGCAACGAACGCAACCCUUGUGUCUAGUUGCUAGUUCCGAUGAUGAGUCGGGGCGCACUCUAGACAGACUGCCUGUGCAAGCAGGAGGAAGGUGGGGAUGACGUCAAGUCAGUAUGGCCUUUAUGCCCUGGGCUGCACACGUGCUACAAUGGCCGGUACAGAAGGAAGCGAAACCGCGAGGUGGAGCAAAUCCCCAAAACCGGCCCCAGUUCAGAUUGAAGUCUGCAACUCGACUUCAUGAAGCCGGAUCCGCUAGUAACGGCGCAUCAGCUACGGCGCCGUGAAUACGUUCCCGGGCCUUGUACACACCGCCCGUCACAUCAUGAAAGCCGUCUGGAUCCCGUAGUCACUGUACCAACCCGCAAGGGAGGAAAGUGCCGAAGGUCUGGGGGGUGACUGGGAUGAAGUCGUAACAAGGUA
Molecule: ribosomal RNA, 1390 nt
Filed under: metagenome
Description: bacterial SSU rRNA
Rfam family: Bacterial small subunit ribosomal RNA
Source: RNAcentral